GAUGAACGCUGGCGGCGUGCCUAAUACAUGCAAGUCGAGCGAACAGACGAGGAGCUUGCUCCUCUGACGUUAGCGGCGGACGGGUGAGUAACACGUGGAUAACCUACCUAUAAGACUGGGAUAACUUCGGGAAACCGGAGCUAAUACCGGAUAAUAUAUUGAACCGCAUGGUUCAAUAGUGAAAGACGGUUUUGCUGUCACUUAUAGAUGGAUCCGCGCCGCAUUAGCUAGUUGGUAAGGUAACGGCUUACCAAGGCAACGAUGCGUAGCCGACCUGAGAGGGUGAUCGGCCACACUGGAACUGAGACACGGUCCAGACUCCUACGGGAGGCAGCAGUAGGGAAUCUUCCGCAAUGGGCGAAAGCUUGACGGAGCAACGCCGCGUGAGUGAUGAAGUUCUUCGGAUCGUAAAACUCUGUUAUUAGGGAAGAACAAAUGUGUAAGUAACUAUGCACGUCUUGACGGUACCUAAUCAGAAAGCCACGGCUAACUACGU
Molecule: ribosomal RNA, 496 nt
Filed under: uncultured bacterium
Lineage: Bacteria
Description: partial 16S ribosomal RNA
Rfam family: Bacterial small subunit ribosomal RNA
Source: RNAcentral